RNAcentral lists this ribosomal RNA (1372 nucleotides) under uncultured bacterium. RNAcentral's name for it is "bacterial SSU rRNA". It matches the Rfam family "Bacterial small subunit ribosomal RNA", at positions 28 to 1381 of the family's 1533-position model. The record is from RNAcentral.
GAUAAACGCUGGCGGCGUGCCUAAUACAUGCAAGUCGAGCGAACGGACGAGAAGCUUGCUUCUCUGAUGUUAGCGGCGGACGGGUGAGUAACACGUGGAUAACCUACCUAUAAGACUGGGAUAACUUCGGGAAACCGGAGCUAAUACCGGAUAAUAUUUUGAACCGCAUGGUUCAAAAGUGAAAGACGGUCUUGCUGUCACUUAUAGAUGGAUCCGCGCUGCAUUAGCUAGUUGGUAAGGUAACGGCUUACCAAGGCAACGAUGCAUAGCCGACCUGAGAGGGUGAUCGGCCACACUGGAACUGAGACACGGUCCAGACUCCUACGGGAGGCAGCAGUAGGGAAUCUUCCGCAAUGGGCGAAAGCCUGACGGAGCAACGCCGCGUGAGUGAUGAAGGUCUUCGGAUCGUAAAACUCUGUUAUUAGGGAAGAACAUAUGUGUAAGUAACUGUGCACAUCUUGACGGUACCUAAUCAGAAAGCCACGGCUAACUACGUGCCAGCAGCCGCGGUAAUACGUAGGUGGCAAGCGUUAUCCGGAAUUAUUGGGCGUAAAGCGCGCGUAGGCGGUUUUUUAAGUCUGAUGUGAAAGCCCACGGCUCAACCGUGGAGGGUCAUUGGAAACUGGAAAACUUGAGUGCAGAAGAGGAAAGUGGAAUUCCAUGUGUAGCGGUGAAAUGCGCAGAGAUAUGGAGGAACACCAGUGGCGAAGGCGACUUUCUGGUCUGUAACUGACGCUGAUGUGCGAAAGCGUGGGGAUCAAACAGGAUUAGAUACCCUGGUAGUCCACGCCGUAAACGAUGAGUGCUAAGUGUUAGGGGGUUUCCGCCCCUUAGUGCUGCAGCUAACGCAUUAAGCACUCCGCCUGGGGAGUACGACCGCAAGGUUGAAACUCAAAGGAAUUGACGGGGACCCGCACAAGCGGUGGAGCAUGUGGUUUAAUUCGAAGCAACGCGAAGAACCUUACCAAAUCUUGACAUCCUUUGACAACUCUAGAGAUAGAGCCUUCCCCUUCGGGGGACAAAGUGACAGGUGGUGCAUGGUUGUCGUUAGCUCGUGUCGUGAGAUGUUGGGUUAAGUCCCGCAACGAGCGCAACCCUUAAGCUUAGUUGCCAUCAUUAAGUUGGGCACUCUAAGUUGACUGCCGGUGACAAACCGGAGGAAGGUGGGGAUGACGUCAAAUCAUCAUGCCCCUUAUGAUUUGGGCUACACACGUGCUACAAUGGACAAUACAAAGGGCAGCGAAACCGCGAGGUCAAGCAAAUCCCAUAAAGUUGUUCUCAGUUCGGGUUGUAGUCUGCAACUCGACUACAUGAAGCUGGAAUCGCUAGUAAUCGUAGAUCAGCAUGCUACGGUGAAUACGUUCCCGGGUCU